AACGCACAUUGCGCCCGCCAGUACUCUGGCGGGCAUGCCUGUUCGAGCGUCAUUUCAACCCUCAAGCCCCCGGCUUGGUGUUGGGGUCCUGCGGCUGCCGCAGGCCCCGAAAUGGAGUGGCGGGCUCGCGGCGAACUCCGAGCGUAGUAGAAUCCUAUCUCGCUAGGGAGGCGCAGCGCGCUCCGGCCGUUAACGGAACUUUUAACCCAAGGUUGACCUCGGAUCAGGUAGGAAUACCCGCUGAACUUAA
This 250-nucleotide unclassified non-coding RNA is filed under the name uncultured Sordariomycetes. RNAcentral describes it as "sequence contains 5.8S rRNA gene, ITS2, 28S rRNA gene". The stretch from base 1 to 52 matches the Rfam family "5.8S ribosomal RNA", at positions 103 to 154 of the family's 154-position model. The record is from RNAcentral. Lineage: Eukaryota; Fungi; Ascomycota; Sordariomycetes.